RNAcentral lists this non-coding RNA (794 nucleotides) under Arma chinensis. Lineage: Eukaryota; Metazoa; Arthropoda; Insecta; Hemiptera; Pentatomidae. The record is from RNAcentral.
AAAUUUGAUUCUGGUUUUAUUAAAAUUUUUAUUUGAUGAGUUUAAUAUGUAAAUAUUUGUGUGUUUUGGGAAUUAUUUAAAUAAUUUUUCCUGAAAAUUAUUAAUCGCAGUUUUUAUUUUUAUGUAAUUUAAUAGAUUAAGAUAUAGUCAAUUUUUAAAAUGGUUAGCAAAGAUUGUGCCAGCAGCUGCGGUUAUACAAUCAACCAAUAUUAUUUUUAUUAGGGAAUUAUUAGUUUUUGAUUAAUUGAACUUAUUAUUAAUUUUUUAUUUUUAAGUGAAAUUUAAAUGUUAAUAUAAAGUUUUGGUAAUUUAAAGAUUAUAAGAAAUUCUUUUUUGAGACUAGGAUUAGAUACCCUAUUAUUUUGAAUGUAAAAUAUUUUUCUUAUUAUUAAUAGUUAUGAUCUUUAAAUUGAAAGAAUUUGACGGUAAUUUUAAUCAUUUUAGAGGAACCUGUUCUGUAAUUGAUAAUCCACGAUAAAUUUUAUCUUAAUUUAUUGUUUGUAUAUCUCUGUCUGAUGAAUGUUUUAUUAGGAAAUUUUCGUUUAUUUUUAUUGAAUUAUAUGUCAGGUCAAGGUGCAGCUGUAUUAAGGAUUGAAAUGGGUUACAUUUAAUUAAUUUAUUAUUGGAAUAAAAACUUUUUAAGUUUUUAUGAAAUUGGAUUUAAUUGUAAUGUUUAAUAUAUAUUAUUCAUGAUAUAUGUUCUUGAUUAAGUACACAUCGCCCGUCGCUCUCAUUAUUAAAAUGAGAUAAGUCGUAACAAAGUAAUCCUAUCGGAAGAUGGGGUUAGAAUUAUA